Molecule: ribosomal RNA, 497 nt
Filed under: uncultured bacterium
Lineage: Bacteria
Description: partial 16S ribosomal RNA
Rfam family: Bacterial small subunit ribosomal RNA
Source: RNAcentral
GAUGAACGCUGGCGGCGUGCCUAAUACAUGCAAGUCGAGCGAACAGACGAGGAGCUUGCUCCUUUGACGUUACCGGCGGACGGGUGAGUAACACGUGGAUAACCUACCUAUAAGACUGGGCUAACUUCGGGAAACCGGAGCUCAUACCGGAUAACAUGUUGAACCGCAUGGUUCAACAGUGUAAGACGGUCUUGCUGUCGCUUAUAGAUGGAUCCGCGCCGCAUUAGCUAGGUGGUAAGGUAACGGCUUACCAAGGCAACGAUGCGUAGCCGACCUGAGAGGGUGAUCGGCCACACUGGAACUGAGACACGGUCCAGACUCCUACGGGAGGCAGCAGUAGGGAAUCUACCGCAAUGGGCGAAAGCCUGACGGAGCAACGCCGCGUGAGUGAAGAAGGUCUUCGGAUCGUAAAACUCUGUUAUUAGUGAAGAACAAAUGUGUAAGUAACUAUGCACGUCUUGACGGUACCUAAUCAGAAAGCCACGGCUAACUACGUG